AUGAACGCUGGCGGCGUGCCUAAUACAUGCAAGUCGCGCGAACGGACGAGAAGCUUGCUUCUCUGAUGUUAGCGGCGGACGGGUGAGUAACACGUGGAUAACCUACCUAUAAGACUGGGAUGACUUCGGGAAACCGGAGCUAAUACCGGAUAAUAUUUUGAACCGCAUGGUUCAAAAGUGAAAGACGGUCUUGCUGUCACUUAUAGAUGGAUCCGCGCUGCAUUAGCUAGUUGGUAAGGUAACGGCUUACCAAGGCAACGAUGCAUAGCCGACCUGAGAGGGUGAUCGGCCACACUGGAACUGAGACACGGUCCAGACUCCUACGGGAGGCAGCAGUAGGGAAUCUUCCGCAAUGGGCGAAAGCCUGACGGAGCAACGCCGCGUGAGUGAUGAAGGUCUUCGGAUCGUAAAACUCUGUUAUUAGGGAAGAACAUAUGUGUAAGUAACUGUGCACAUCUUGACGGUACCUAAUCAGAAAGCCACGGCUAACUACGUG
Molecule: ribosomal RNA, 496 nt
Filed under: uncultured bacterium
Lineage: Bacteria
Description: partial 16S ribosomal RNA
Rfam family: Bacterial small subunit ribosomal RNA
Source: RNAcentral